RNAcentral lists this ribosomal RNA (241 nucleotides) under uncultured bacterium. RNAcentral describes it as "partial 16S ribosomal RNA". It matches the Rfam family "Bacterial small subunit ribosomal RNA", at positions 32 to 250 of the family's 1533-position model. The record is from RNAcentral.
AAUCAACGCUGGCGGCGUGCCUAACACAUGCAAGUCGAACGCGAAAGCCCCUUCGGGGGUAAGUAGAGUGGCGUCCGGGUGAGUAACACGUAGGUAAUCUACCUUCGGGUGGGGAAGUAACUCGCCGAAAGGCGAGCUAAUACCGCAUAAUGCAGCGGCACCUAAUGGUGGAUUAGUUGUUAAAGCGGGGGAGUCGUAAGACCUCGCGCCUGAAGAGGAGCCUGCGGCAGAUUAGCUAGUU